CCUACGGGUGGCAGCAGUGAGGAAUAUUGGUCAAUGGCCGCGAGGCUGAACCAGCCAAGUCGCGUGAGGGAUGACGGCCCUAUGGGUUGUAAACCUCUUUUGUAGGGGAGUAAAGAGCAGGAUGUGUCCUGCUUUGCAUGUACCUGAUGAAUAAGCAUCGGCUAACUCCGUGCCAGCAGCCGCGGUAAUACGGAGGAUCCGAGCGUUAUCCGGAUUUAUUGGGUUUAAAGGGAGCGUAGGCGGUUUUUUAAGUCAGUUGUGAAAGUGUGCGGCUCAACCGUAACAUUGCCGUUGAUACUGUGAGCCUUGAGUACACGCGAGGUAGGCGGAAUUCGUGGUGUAGCGGUGAAAUGCUUAGAGAUCACGAAGAACUCCGAUUGCGAAGGCAGUGUGCUGGAGUAAAACUGACGCUGAUGCUCGAAAGUGCGGGUAUCAAACAGGAUUAGAUACCCCAGUAGUC
This 460-nucleotide ribosomal RNA is filed under the name uncultured bacterium. RNAcentral's name for it is "partial 16S ribosomal RNA". It matches the Rfam family "Bacterial small subunit ribosomal RNA", at positions 338 to 795 of the family's 1533-position model. The record is from RNAcentral.